Molecule: long non-coding RNA, 477 nt
Filed under: Androctonus crassicauda
Lineage: Eukaryota; Metazoa; Arthropoda; Arachnida; Scorpiones; Buthidae
Source: RNAcentral
UUGUUAUUAAUAAUUUAAAAAUUAAAGAAUAAAAAUUACAUUGAAAUUGUAGUUCCUCUAAAAAGACAGAAUUCACAGAUGGUGCUGUAACAUAAUAAUGGAUGUCAUUUCAUAAUUCCCUCAAGGAUAUUUGGAUUCUCUUCCCCUUGUGGGUAAGAGGUUAAAAUAUGUCCACUGACCGAUUCUCUGUAAAAGGUGACUAAAUGGGUCAUUUUGUAUCAUUCGGUGCUUGACACUGGGGUCUCAUUUGGGUCCUUAAAGGAAUUGGGAAUGUUGGCGUUCCCAAGUCUGUCAUUAGGAUCUGCAAUGGGACCUCAUACAGACAUAGGACUGCACAGUGGGCACGCCCACCUUGCACCAGCAUCGUCAUCAGAGGAAAAAGCUACUGCUAAAACCUCCCUAUUAAGCAGUGGAGAAGUAGCAGUAGUUUGGAUUCCCUACAUGAAUUUGGAGUCGUUUUUCAUCAUUAUAUACAGA